CGCGUAGGCGGUCCAGCAAGUCGGGUGUGAAAGCCCUCGGCUUAACCGAGGAAGUGCAUUCGAAACUACUGGACUUGAGUACCGGAGAGGGUCGCGGAAUUCCCGGUGUAGAGGUGAAAUUCGUAGAUAUCGGGAGGAACACCAGCGGCGAAGGCGGCGACCUGGACGGAUACUGACGCUGAGGCGCGAAAGCGUGGGGAGCAAACA
RNAcentral lists this ribosomal RNA (207 nucleotides) under uncultured delta proteobacterium. Its description in RNAcentral is "partial 16S ribosomal RNA". It matches the Rfam family "Bacterial small subunit ribosomal RNA", at positions 568 to 774 of the family's 1533-position model. Lineage: Bacteria; Deltaproteobacteria. The record is from RNAcentral.